RNAcentral lists this ribosomal RNA (305 nucleotides) under uncultured bacterium. RNAcentral describes it as "bacterial SSU rRNA". It matches the Rfam family "Bacterial small subunit ribosomal RNA", at positions 333 to 635 of the family's 1533-position model. The record is from RNAcentral.
GUCCGCCUACGGGGGGCAGCAGUGAGGAAUAUUGGUCAAUGGGAGAGAUCCUGAACCAGCCAAGCCGCGUGAGGGAAGACGGCCCUAUGGGUUGUAAACCUCUUUUGUCGGAGAACAAAACCCGGGACGUGUCCCGGACUGCGUGUAUCCGAAGAAAAAGCAUCGGCUAACUCCGUGCCAGCAGCCGCGGUAAUACGGAGGGUGCGAGCGUUAAUCGGAAUUACUGGGCGUAAAGCGCUCGUAGGCGGUAUGUCAAGUCAAGGGUGAAAUCCCCGCGCUCAACGUGGGAACUGCCUUUGAAACUG